This is a non-coding RNA of Acanthosepion pharaonis, 114 nucleotides long. The record is from the annotation of a GenBank genome assembly. Lineage: Eukaryota; Metazoa; Mollusca; Cephalopoda; Sepiida; Sepiidae.
UGGCGACCAUAUCACGUUGAAACAAUGGUUCUCGUACGUUCACUGAAGUUAAACAACGUCGAACCUGGUCAGUACUUAGAUGGGUAAAACGCUUGAGAAUACUAGGCGCUGUAA